This is a small nuclear RNA of Otolemur garnettii (small-eared galago), 107 nucleotides long. The record is from Ensembl. NCBI's taxonomy places the organism in Eukaryota, Metazoa, Chordata, Mammalia, Primates, Galagidae.
GUGCUUGCAUUGGCAGCACAUAUACUAAAAUUGGAACAAUACAGAGAAGAUCAGCAUGGACUCUGCACAAAGAUGACAUGCAAAUUUGUGAAGCGUUCCAUAUUUUU